RNAcentral lists this ribosomal RNA (423 nucleotides) under Hungatella hathewayi. Its description in RNAcentral is "bacterial SSU rRNA". It matches the Rfam family "Bacterial small subunit ribosomal RNA", at positions 67 to 513 of the family's 1533-position model. The record is from RNAcentral. Lineage: Bacteria; Bacillati; Bacillota; Clostridia; Lachnospirales; Lachnospiraceae.
CGGAUGGAUUUGAAAUUGACUUAGCGGCGGACGGGUGAGUAACGCGUGGGUAACCUGCCUUACACUGGGGGAUAACAGUUAGAAAUGACUGCUAAUACCGCAUAAGCGCACAGGGCCGCAUGGUCUGGUGUGAAAAACUCCGGUGGUGUAAGAUGGACCCGCGUCUGAUUAGGUAGUUGGUGGGGUAACGGCCCACCAAGCCGACGAUCAGUAGCCGACCUGAGAGGGUGACCGGCCACAUUGGGACUGAGACACGGCCCAAACUCCUACGGGAGGCAGCAGUGGGGAAUAUUGGACAAUGGGCGAAAGCCUGAUCCAGCGACGCCGCGUGAGUGAAGAAGUAUUUCGGUAUGUAAAGCUCUAUCAGCAGGGAAGAAAAUGACGGUACCUGACUAAGAAGCCCCGGCUAACUACGUGCCAGCU